This 271-nucleotide ribosomal RNA is filed under the name uncultured archaeon. RNAcentral describes it as "partial 16S ribosomal RNA". It matches the Rfam family "Archaeal small subunit ribosomal RNA", at positions 477 to 747 of the family's 1478-position model. The record is from RNAcentral.
CAGCGCCACAAGUGGCAAUCACGUUUAUUGGGCCUAAAGCGUACGUAGCCGGUUUAGCAAAUCUUUUGUGAAAUCGUCAGGCUUAACUUGACGAAUUGCAGAAGACACUACUAAACUAGGGACUGGGAGGAGUCAGAAGUAUUCUGGGGGGACCGGUAAAAUGGUAUAAUCCCCAGAGGACUACCGAUGGCGAAGGCAUCUGACCAGAACAGAUCCGACGGUGAGGGACGAAAGCCAGGGGAGCAAACCGGAUUAGAGACCCGAGUAGUCC